CGUCUUCGGAAGUCAGUGGCAGACGGGUGAGUAACACGUGGGAACGUGCCUCGGUUCGGAAUAACUCAGGGAAACUUGAGCUAAUACCGGAUACGCCCUUUUGGGGAAAGGUUGACUGCCGAAGGAUCGGCCCGCGUCUGAUUAGCUUGUUGGUGGGGUAACGGCCUACCAAGGCGACGAUCAGUAGCUGGUCUGAGAGGAUGAUCAGCCACACUGGGACUGAGACACGGCCCAG
Molecule: ribosomal RNA, 235 nt
Filed under: uncultured bacterium
Lineage: Bacteria
Description: partial 16S ribosomal RNA
Rfam family: Bacterial small subunit ribosomal RNA
Source: RNAcentral